GAGGCAGGUUUCUUCAUGUUUGUCAGGCUAGUCUAGAACUCCUGACCUCAGGGAUUGCUGGAGUCCAGGAGUUCUGGGCUGUAGUGCGCUAUGCCGAUCGGGUGUCCACACUAAGUUCGGCAUCCAUAUGGUGACCUCCCAGGAGCGGGGGACCACCAGGUUGCCUAAGGAGGGGUGCACUGGCCCAGGUCAGAAACAGAGCAGGUCAAAACUCCCAUGUUGAUCAGUAGUAGGAUCCUGCCGGUGAAUAGCCACUGCACUCCAGCCUGGGCAACAGAGUGAGACCCC
RNAcentral lists this signal recognition particle RNA (288 nucleotides) under Aotus nancymaae (Ma's night monkey). Its description in RNAcentral is "Metazoan signal recognition particle RNA (ENSANAG00000005534.1)". The stretch from base 51 to 285 matches the Rfam family "Metazoan signal recognition particle RNA", at positions 54 to 289 of the family's 299-position model. From Rfam's summary of the family: The signal recognition particle (SRP) is a universally conserved ribonucleoprotein. It is involved in the co-translational targeting of proteins to membranes. Lineage: Eukaryota; Metazoa; Chordata; Mammalia; Primates; Aotidae. The record is from RNAcentral.